Molecule: unclassified non-coding RNA, 367 nt
Filed under: uncultured fungus
Lineage: Eukaryota; Fungi
Description: sequence contains ITS1
Rfam family: 5.8S ribosomal RNA (bases 1-106)
Source: RNAcentral
GAAAUGCGAUACGUAAUGCGAAUUGCAGAAUUCAGUGAAUCAUCGAAUUUUUGAACGCAAAUUGCGCUUUCGGGAUAGGCCUGAAAGCAUGUUUCUUUGAGCCUCGUGUCUAAACCACCUCGGCUGCGUGCCGGAUAAUGGAAGUCCCAUUCUUCAUGGAAUGAUGGGUCUUCUUAAGCUUAUUAAAUCCAUGGCUUGCCCGCCUCAGUGAAGUUUCUUCUGCUUAGCGGCGCGAUUAAAAGUGCAAACUUCUUUCUCGUUUCUUCGCAAUCGAAACCGUCCCAUUUGGUUGGACAUUCCAUUGAUUAAUUCGGAAAAACUUUUUGACUUAGAGCUCAAAUGAAGCAAGAUAACCCGCUGAACUUAA